RNAcentral lists this ribosomal RNA (459 nucleotides) under uncultured bacterium. RNAcentral describes it as "partial 16S ribosomal RNA". It matches the Rfam family "Bacterial small subunit ribosomal RNA", at positions 338 to 795 of the family's 1533-position model. The record is from RNAcentral.
CCUACGGAGUGCAGCAGUGAGGAAUAUUGGUCAAUGGGCGAGAGCCUGAACCAGCCAAGUCGCGUGAAGGAUGAAGGAUCUAUGGUUUGUAAACUUCUUUUAUAUGGGAAUCAAGUGAGGAACGUGUUCCUUUGUGUAUGUACCAUAUGAAUAAGCAUCGGCUAACUCCGUGCCAGCAGCCGCGGUAAUACGGAGGAUGCGAGCGUUAUCCGGAUUUAUUGGGUUUAAAGGGUGCGUAGGUGGUUAAUUAAGUCAGCGGUAAAACUUCGGGGCUCAACCCCGUCCGGCCGUUGAAACUGGGGGCCUUGAGUGGGCGAGAAGAAGGCGGAAUGCGUGGUGUAGCGGUGAAAUGCAUAGAUAUCACGCAGAACCCCGAUUGCGAAGGCAGCCUUCCGGCGCCCUACUGACGCUGAGGCACGAAAGUGCGGGGAUCGAACAGGAUUAGAUACCCGUGUAGUC